Molecule: long non-coding RNA, 1025 nt
Filed under: Drosophila guanche
Lineage: Eukaryota; Metazoa; Arthropoda; Insecta; Diptera; Drosophilidae
Source: RNAcentral
AACUCGUAAUAGAGAAAUUAUUUCAAAUGAACCUAUCAAAUGUAUAAAUUUCCUGUUUUGUUCCAAGGUAUUCGGAAUCUUUCACUCCCAAAUUGUAGUUACACAGUGGAGUUAAUUUGGAUUGUCCGACCCGGGCUUAAUUCCAUGCCAAAUAACAGCAAUUACACCAAAGAUCCCCAAUUUAGUAAUUUUCUGUACUAAUUUACUAUUUUAAUGAGCCACUGGCAGCAGCCGAGAGCAGAACAGACAUGGAGAGAGAGCAACGAACUGUAAACUUAUGGCCUAAGAGCAGAGCAGUUUCGGAUUCGAGUUGACAAAAAGUAAAACCCACUUACAAAUUUUCCCAGUCGUUUAUCAAACGGCAGCGGAGCAUAAAUCUUGUCUAAGCAAAUCGCAAUGACAGCCCACAAAUGUUCUGGCCCAGAGGUAAGCGGAACUAGGAAGCCAGGAGGAAGGGUCUUGGCUAAGAGUCAAAUCCAGGCCGUAACCAAAAUGCUUCGCGACACGCAAUUGUCUCUGGCGCUGUAGAUGGAGACGGGCAGGAAGGCACUCUCUGCCGGGCAUUAAAUUUUAUGGCAUUUGGCUGUUGGACAUUAAAAACAAGAGACAACAAAUGUCGCACAAGCCGAGAGGACAAAGGACAAUGAGCCAGGUUAAUGUUGCUCUUGCUGUUGUGGGUCAGUGUUUGCGGCAUAUGGCACGUGGCAGGUUGGCAGCUUGGCAGCUUGGCAGCUUGGCGGCACGACAUCCUGAAAUCCUGGCAUUCUCGCACGUUGUCAACUCUAGGCAACCAGUGGCUGGCAUUUGAUUUAUGCGGUUCAGAGAGAUGAAAAAUUGACGAAUUUAUUCGCAGCUCUAUCAGAGCUCUCUAUCACUGCAUUAGAAUGCCUAUUCAGAGGGCAAUGCCGAGAGUAAAGUGUACCGGACUUGAUUUGAUUUGAUUCUUAUCCACUGGCUUGCACCUGAACCAUGUUUACUUGAUUAAAAUUGCUGCAACAAACCGAGAGAGCAUCCUUUCAGGCUUA